RNAcentral lists this ribosomal RNA (398 nucleotides) under uncultured bacterium. RNAcentral's name for it is "bacterial SSU rRNA". It matches the Rfam family "Bacterial small subunit ribosomal RNA", at positions 28 to 428 of the family's 1533-position model. The record is from RNAcentral.
GACGAACGCUGGCGGCGUGCUUAACACAUGCAAGUCGAGCGGUAAGGCCCUUUCGGGGGUACACGAGCGGCGAACGGGUGAGUAACACGUGGGUGACCUGCCCUUAGCUCUGGGAUAAGCCUGGGAAACUGGGUCUAAUACCGGAUAUGACUCCAUGACGCAUGUUGUGGGGUGGAAAGCCUUGUGCGGCUAGGGGAUGGGCCCGCGGCCUAUCAGCUUGUUGGUGGGGUGAUGGCCUACCAAGGCGACGACGGGUAGCCGGCCUGAGAGGGCGACCGGCCACACUGGGACUGAGACACGGCCCAGACUCCUACGGGAGGCAGCAGUGGGGAAUCUUGCGCAAUGGGCGAAAGCCUGACGCAGCGACGCCGCGUGAGGGAUGACGGCCUCGGUUGUAA